Molecule: transfer RNA, 68 nt
Filed under: bovine gut metagenome
Rfam family: tRNA
About the family: Transfer RNA (tRNA) molecules are approximately 80 nucleotides in length. Their secondary structure includes four short double-helical elements and three loops (D, anti-codon, and T loops). Further hydrogen bonds mediate the characteristic L-shaped molecular structure. tRNAs have two regions of fundamental functional importance: the anti-codon, which is responsible for specific mRNA codon recognition, and the 3' end, to which the tRNAs corresponding amino acid is attached (by aminoacyl-tRNA synthetases). tRNAs cope with the degeneracy of the genetic code in two manners: having more than one tRNA (with a specific anti-codon) for a particular amino acid; and 'wobble' base-pairing, i.e. permitting non-standard base-pairing at the 3rd anti-codon position.
Source: RNAcentral
CCUUUAGCUCAGCUGGUUAGAGCACCUGACUCAUAAUCAGGUGGUCGCUGGUUCAAGCCCAGCAAGGC